This 1115-nucleotide long non-coding RNA is filed under the name Canis lupus familiaris (dog). RNAcentral's name for it is "lncRNA (ENSCAFG00845006096.1)". Lineage: Eukaryota; Metazoa; Chordata; Mammalia; Carnivora; Canidae. The record is from RNAcentral.
GUACUUGAAGCCGGAGGAGAGACCCCGGCCGAAGUCCUUCAUACAGUCCUGGUACAUCUGCUUGGCCACACCGGACGCGCUGGAGUACACGUUGCCGGAGCCCGUGGGGUACUCGAUGAACAGCUUCAGCUCGUAGUCCAUGCCGGGCUUGGAGACGGCGUCGAAGGCGAAGACGCGGCCCAGCAGCGAGUGGUCCUUCUUGAAACGCACCUCGUAGGGCGUGCAGCCAGCCAGCGUGAGCAGCGUGUCGCGGACCAUCUUGGGCUUGUUGGCCCACUCCUCCGCGCGGUUGCGCAGGCUCUCGCUCAGCUCGGCCAGGGCCUCGGCGUUGCGCUGCUUCUCCUUCAGCUCGCGCUCCUGGUCGGUGCUCGACACCGAGCCGGGCCUUUUGCCGCCAGCACCCACCCCCACCUCCGCCACCGACGACGAGGUCGAAGACGACGCCGAGGACGACGCGGCCGAGACGCCCGGGGCGCCCCCAAGACAAGCGGGGCCCCCGGGUGCCCCUGGGGGCGCGGGCGUCGGGGGCCCACGGCUGCCGAGGCCGUGGGGCGGCGGCGGGGGCAGCACCGCGGCGCUGGCCGGGCCGUUAAGUAGCGUCUGCGGCAGCAGGUUGGGGGGCACCGCGAGCUGGGGGCCUCCACCACCCCCCGGGUUGGGCAGCCCCGUCACUAGCCCACCGUGCGUCCCGCGCCGAGACGCCACCGACGCCGCGGCAGAAGAGGAGUUGGGGCUCUGGCGGUUCAGCUCCGGGGGUCCCUCCUCCGGUGUCGGCUUGGGGAAGCCGUUGGGGCCCCCCAGCCCGUUGGGCAGCCGCGCGGCGUGGCUGCUGCUCCCCAGGCUCACCGGCGGCGGCGGGUACUCGAAGCGGCUGCGCUGCUCCACGGCGGCGGCGGCGGCCCGGGGGAGCGGCCGUCCUGAAAGCAGCCGUGCGCCCGCUUCAGCUGGCGCGCCGUCUCGAUCACGAACUCGAUGCGAUCGGCGCCCUCGUAGUUGACGCAACCGCGGCAUACGGGUUCCGAGAAGUCCCAGAUCAUGGCCCAGGGCAUGCGGGGCAGGUCGCACAGGUAGCAAGACUGUCUCCGGGACGAGGACACCUGCGCCGCCGACAUGAU